RNAcentral lists this ribosomal RNA (497 nucleotides) under uncultured bacterium. Its description in RNAcentral is "partial 16S ribosomal RNA". It matches the Rfam family "Bacterial small subunit ribosomal RNA", at positions 28 to 507 of the family's 1533-position model. The record is from RNAcentral.
GAUGAACGCUGGCGGCGUGCCUAAUACAUGCAAGUCGAGCGAACAGAUGAGGAGCUUGCUCCUCUGACGUUAGCGGCGGACGGGUGAGUAACACGUGGAUAACCUACCUAUAAGACUGGGAUAACUUCGGGAAACCGGAGCUAAUACCGGAUAAUAUAUUGAACCGCAUGGUUCAAUAGUGAAAGACGGUUUUGCUGUCACUUAUAGAUGGAUCCGCGCCGCAUUAGCUAGUUGGUAAGGUAACGGCUUACCAAGGCAACGAUGCGUAGCCGACCUGAGAGGGUGAUCGGCCACACUGGAAGUGAGACACGGUCCAGACUCCUACGGGAGGCAGCAGUAGGGAAUCUUCCGCAAUAGGCGAAAGCCUGACGGAGCAACGGCGCGUGAGUGAUGAAGGUCUUCGGAUCGUAAAACUCUGUUAUUAGGGAAGAACAAAUGUGUAAGUAACUAUGCACGUCUUGACGGUACCUAAUCAGAAAGCCACGGCUAACUACGUG